Molecule: long non-coding RNA, 877 nt
Organism: Lolium perenne
Lineage: Eukaryota; Viridiplantae; Streptophyta; Magnoliopsida; Poales; Poaceae
Source: RefSeq, a predicted model, not a curated record
UGGGGACCAGGCAAUCUCAUUAUUUCUAGCGUCUCAUGGCCGUGUUUGCGUGUUUUGCAAGCCAUGCCCUGUUUUUUUUUGGUAUUUUUACUGCAGUUGGUAAACUGUGUUGGUAGCAGUGCUAUCUACCUGUAGCUGUUGUGCUAUUUCUGAAGUUGUUUGGUUUCCUGAAAUAUUUUGCUAUUGUUUCUUGAAGUUGAAGAAAUUUUGUUGCUGUUAUGAUCUGGUGAUGUGGAGCAAGGCCUCGGAGUCUAGUGCUUCCAUGAGGUGCCCAGGUUCCCACGGUUCAGGCAUGAAAGUGACUAUCCGUUAGCUGGAUCAACUGCUAUUAUAUGUGUUGUCUCUUAGCUUGGAGGAUUUCCAGUUGGUGGAGCUGGCUAGGAGGUAGCCGUGGCUGCCAUAUCUAUCUGUUUGGCAGCAGCGGCCUUCGUCUUCGACUUGGUGGGUUUAGUUGAAGGAUAUAUAUAUCGUGGAGAACGGGUGGAUGGCAGCAAGGAAGCUGCAGUGCGAUGCGUCAUCUGGAUGUGACCUGGAAGAGACAAUGAAGGAAGCAGCUGACUUGAGUACACGCAUUGCUGUGUCUGUGCAGCAACUAUAUUUAUUCAAUCGGGAUGUAGUGUAAUGCAGCACCGCCUGUAAUUCAGAUUCAGAGGAAUCUCGUAUGGCAUCUUGUCCGUGUUGUAUGUAACCGAGACCGUCCUAGGAUGGGGUUGCGGAUGCAUCAGCUUUUGCUUUGCUUUGAUGCUGAUGGCGGUUGGGUUUUUUUUUUUGUCCCCAUUGAUUGGAUCGAGUUGGGGUUGAAUGUGCAUGCCAAGCGUGUGUGUUGAAUUGAAGUAUGGUAUUUGCUGUGCAGGUUUGGAUGCCAAAAUUUUGAGCA